Molecule: non-coding RNA, 2791 nt
Organism: Macaca mulatta (Rhesus monkey)
Lineage: Eukaryota; Metazoa; Chordata; Mammalia; Primates; Cercopithecidae
Source: RefSeq, a predicted model, not a curated record
GGGCUGGCGACAGUCCAGGGAAGCCAGGCGCGGGGGAGCGCACAGCGAGUGUCGGCUCCUGGUGCCAGCACCCCCAGGGCCGCCGGGUCACGCUGCUCCUGUGAGCGCGGCCGCCUGACGGGGCCGAAUUUCCCCACAACCAGGCGUGCCCGGACCUCCCGCGGAUCGCUGAGGACCCCGCACCACCAGGGCAGGGGCGGAGACCCAGCUGGAAGGAAGCUCCCCCGGACUGGCUCAGGGAGCGUUUCCAAAUUCUCCCAUCCCAGGAAGGCGGGUUUCCGUGAGGAGUGCGACGCCUAGGACUCUGCCUAGGAUAAGUACCGGGGUGUGAAGUUUUAUUUAUAGAUUUAAUGCAACAGGGACCCAUGUGCUAUAGGCAGCUGGGUAGCACUUUGAGAGAAGUAAAAACUUGGGAGCCGCUAGGCCCAGGCUCUUCUCCAAGCCAAAGGCCUCUUAGAGAAGAGCCCUGCUUGGUACACCUGCAUUGUUGGGCCUGGUGCAUGGGCCAUGUCCGAAAGGCUCCUGCCUCAAACCGCAGGGCCAAGGGAGAGAUGGCAAGAUCCUGCCAGCCCUAGAUGUCCCCCUAGAUGAUAAAACUGGACUCUUGGGCAGGGGCUUGAGCCCCCUGGAAGGGGCAGAGUCACCAGGGUCCUCUUUAUCCGAAGAGUGCCCAGGUCCCUUUCUGCUUCUUAGUAGUCACUCUUCUGUCUGUGGGCUCACUCCCCUGGGCUGGGCUGAGACUUCCACUUCCCAGGUGGCCUCGCUUCCUGUUUCGGUACAUACUUCUGCAAAGAGAACCAGGGUGAUGGAUGGUGCAGGGGCCAAAAUGUACCACGGAGCAUGACCUGUUCCAUGGUCAACCCCAGGGAUGGAGACUCAAAGCACACAGGCUUCCUGCUCCUCUACCCACAACCCAGCAUAGCUACAGCAGCGUGGAUAAUCAGGAACCCAAAGGCAUGAAAGGGAGACUCAGGUCUGCAGGGAGAGCUUAAAGCGCCACAUGGAUAAUAUACUCAUGUAGGGAGGAGGGACUGGAUUCCAAAUGAUUUAGCAUAGCUAUAUGCUCUUUUGGUAGUGUUUAGGUGGGCUAUAAUCUCCUUCCCUGCUACCCUCAACCUCCAGCAUGGCCCAGCCUCCUCGUGUCUAGGCCGGAACAACUCUGACUUCUGCAAAUAGAAAGACACACGUAGUCUUGCCCUUCAAUAUGUGCCCUGUGGAUCCGGCCCAGCAGCCCAUUUCCUUCUUCCUCCCCCUCACCUAGGGCCACCUUAGGAGAUACUGAGUUCACCCAACCCAAGCCUGGCUCUCCCACUCCAUUCUUAAUUUUUCCAGAGGCUACAGCAAACAGUCCUAACACCUUGAUCUUAUGAGAGGUGGAGACUCCAGAGGAUGAGUGGGUUAUGGGGCCAGGUGGUAUGCAGCAAUCAAAUAUGGCCAUGAGAACAACCUGAGCCAGAUGGACCACUCUGGCCACUUGAUCAAGGAGUCUGUCCAUUCUAGGGCUCUAGACUGUAGGGACCAGCCCUUGUCAUCUCUGGGAGGAUCUGUGGUAUUUCAGUUCUUCCCAUCGUCUUGGGAAACCAGGGACAUUGGAAGGGUCUCUGAGAGAUUCACAUCAGAUCUAGGACAGAUCUAGUGGGAGCUGGGUGAGAUUAUCCUCUGCCAGCCAGCCCUAGGACUCCCCAGGCUUCUGAGUCGGCCUGGAAAUGAACUAGACACAGGGUAGUUAGUGUCUCUCCCAGUUUAGGCUACUGUGGGUUGGAUUAUAUUCUCAUCAUGUCCCCACUUCUCGCUCUAUCUCUGAAUGCAGGCCCCAGGUGAGCUAACACCUGAUUAUCCUCUGCAGCCCAGGCGAGCUAACAGCUGAUUAUCCUCUGCAGCCCAGGCUACCAGCAAGUGGAGCCCUGACCUUGCCACUCCAAGAUAGAAUCUAGUCUCCAGCACAAGAAACUGCUAAAGAAGCUAUGAUUCAUCUCCGGAUUGACAUAAUGCUGAGCAGAGACCACAAGGGAGGAAAAGGAAGCCAUGAGAACGCAAAUCUCCCAAGGAUUCACUGAAAUCUGGAAUAGGCUUUGGACUUUCACAGGCUACGAGAUUGGGGAGUUAAGCCAUCUGACUCAGAUCUUGAGGGGCAGAGAGACCCUUCAGCUGAUAUGCAGACUACACUGAUGGGGAAGGCCAAGGCAGGAGGAUCGCCUGAAGCCAGCAGUUUUGAGACCAGCUUAGGCAGCCUGGGCAACGCAGUGAGACCCUGCCUCUACAGAAAAAACUAAAAAAUUAGCUGGGCAUAGUGAUACAUACCUGUAGUCCCAGGUAUUUGGGAGGCUGGAGUGGAAGGAAAACUUGAGCCUGGGAGUUUGAGGCUCCAAUGAGCUGUGAUCGCACCACUUCACUCCAGUCUGGGCAACAGAGAGAGACCCUGUCUCUCUUUAUUGUUAAUAUUUCAGGGGCUGUGGUAAGCCUUUCCUUAAAAAAUUGGGAGCAAGGAAAAUAAGAUACCCCCUAAAGCACAAAUAUAUAGUAAAAAAAAGUAAAGAAGUACAAACUCACUCAAGAAGACAGAGACAAAUCUUGUCAGUGACCACCAAGGACUUUCUUUCAAGUGUUUCCCAAUGACUGUCCCAUCACUACAUGCAAGAUGUUGCCCAAGUCUCUUUGCCUGACCUUGAGCAACUUUCUAAUUGUGGUUUUACUUCCCAAUUAUAGCUGCAAACAGAGAGAAAAUGUGCUAGUUACUUUGAUUCUCCAAAUAAUUUCCCCUGAUAAACUAAUAAAUUAGCAUUCUAGUUUA